Oncorhynchus tshawytscha (Chinook salmon) is the source of this 773-nucleotide long non-coding RNA. RefSeq lists it as uncharacterized. The record is from RefSeq and is a predicted model, not a curated record. The transcript has 2 exons. NCBI's taxonomy places the organism in Eukaryota, Metazoa, Chordata, Actinopteri, Salmoniformes, Salmonidae.
GUUCGUUCUUUAUUUACCUCCGAUGGAAACUGGUCUUAAUAAACAUGGUCCGAGAUCGAGAUGGAAAAAAACAACAGCUUUUGCACACCGUGUUAAUUAAUGCAACGUUAAUGAAUGCUGUAUUCGGUAUUAUAAUAAUAUAUUCAAUGACAAAUAAGUAUAUUAUUGAUAAUGAGGAGGAAAACAAUCAAUUAUACUUAAAGUGAGUCUAAUACAAUAAUAACGCGUUCACUAGCGAUAUUGAGUCGUUUCAUCUUACCGUCCAAAUGGAAUCUAUGCAACUGGCUGUACACAAGAUGGACCACAGUGGGCAGAACAAACAAUGGCAUUUAAAAAAAGUUUUGCAAAGGGAGACAUGCAGUACCAGCAAAUCUUCUGCAAGAGGUCCAAAAAGUUGGUGGUUAAGAAGACCUACACCGCAUUCGGUAGAGUCUUAUCCAGCUGGCCGUUCACCGCAGACAGGACAAGACCAUUCGCCAUAAGCACAAAGAGUCUCAGCUUCCCCAGCCCACCAUGCCAAACAUCAUUGCCAGUGUACCGAAGCCGGAUAAAGGACUAUCGCUGAGUUUACACAAGCAGCCAAAUUCUGAUAGUUUUUUUGACUAAUUGGUAUUUUGACCAAUUAGAUCGGUUCUGAAAAAAUAUCUGAUGUGAUUAAGACCAAUUAGUGGGAAAAAGAUCAGAAUUGGGCUGCCUGUGUAAACAAAGCCAGUAUUGCUCAGCAUAAGACCGUGUAGAACCACCAUCAAAUAAAUAUGGAUCUUUUCUAUCAA